CAUUGGUUGACAGUGGAAUUAAAUGGUCUAUAAAAAGCCUAUUUUUGCUGUUAAGUUACAAUACAGCAUUAGUCUCAAGUUGAAUACUUUUUAAGUAUUUUACAUCUUCACUUGAACAGGUGUCUGAGAAACAUGAUCGAGAGGAGCGCUCAGCAAGUGAUGAGAAGUUCAGGGGUUAUGGGCGUGGUUUGGGAGGGUUUUACCCCUAUCAGCAGCCUCAGUACCCAUCCUACUUCCCUUAUGCUCAGCCUUCUCAAGGUAACUCUGCCCUGAUGGCCCUCCUGCCCUUCCUAUUGGCCAGCCUCGCCUCUGCUCCUGCCGCAACUCCUGCUGCAGCUCCAGCCCCAGCCCCAGCAGCAGGUGGAAAAUGAGACGGGCGUCGAUAGAGAAAGGAGAAAAAACGUGUUUACAUCAAAUAUGUUCGCAUUAGCUGCUGUUCAGAGCUGAUUAUUCCAUAUUAAUAAAUGAAAUAAGUUAAGAUCCGUCA
Molecule: long non-coding RNA, 487 nt
Filed under: Salmo salar (Atlantic salmon)
Lineage: Eukaryota; Metazoa; Chordata; Actinopteri; Salmoniformes; Salmonidae
Description: lncRNA (ENSSSAG00000112345.1)
Source: RNAcentral